Molecule: long non-coding RNA, 690 nt
Filed under: Triticum aestivum (bread wheat)
Lineage: Eukaryota; Viridiplantae; Streptophyta; Magnoliopsida; Poales; Poaceae
Description: long non-coding RNA (TAES_LNC019407)
Source: RNAcentral
UUGUUCUGCUUCCACCAGAACUCUCCAUGCCCUCCUGGCAUAGUCCACUGCUGCUUCCCCUGGUGCGCGAACUGUCAGGAGCAUCGUGAAAGGAAAGGCCGCCUCGCAGAAAGCAGUGUUGUUCCAAUGACCAUUAUCAACCCGCCGCCGCUGCAAGAGAUGAGCAUGGUCGAGAACAACGCUCCCACAUCCGACAAUGAAGCUUCGAAGGCCGAGCAUGAUGAUGUGGAGGUCAUACCUCUCUAGGAAAGAUAAGCAUGAGAACUGAAACUGACAUGGAAUCUGCUAGCCCAUUUAGAGACUACCAUAUAUUGUUAAUAAUCACUGUCAUCUGCCAGGUACCGUAUGAAACAUUGGGCUGAUCCAGAUUUUAGUUUAUGACCAUUACUACCUAUGAUAGAUUGUUGACCGUGGGCAUAUAAUAUAUGUGUGGAGACCAUUACUACCUAUGAUAGAGUGUUGCCCGCGGGCAUAUAAUAUAUAUGUGUGGAGACCAUUACUACCUAUGAUAGAAUGUUGCCCGCGGGCAUAUAAUAUAUGUGUGGAUAUAUUUAUAUUUGUGAUUGGUAUGUCCUAUGUUCUAUCCACAUUAUGCAUUGCCUGUGUUCUUGACUUCUCGUUCAUGAACGUUAAGGCCUGUUUUGGUUCAAAGGAUAGGAAUAUCAUAGAAAUAGAAAAGAGAUGUCAUAC